Molecule: long non-coding RNA, 2037 nt
Organism: Sapajus apella (tufted capuchin)
Lineage: Eukaryota; Metazoa; Chordata; Mammalia; Primates; Cebidae
Exons: 3
Source: RefSeq, a predicted model, not a curated record
GUGUCUGUUUGCUGAGAAUGAUGAUUUUCAGAUUCAUCCAUGUCCCUGCAAAGGACACGAACUCAUACUUUUUUAUGGCUGCAUAGUAUUCUUUAAUACGAGGAACUGUUCUUACGUGCACAAAAUGCAGAUUGAAGCUUACAGAGAUGAGAAUUUCUCAACAAUGGUUCCCAGGAUGAGACUCCUGAGGAAGCUCAGGGGUUCCUGGUGAGUCUUCCCCAAUCAGAUCCAGGAUAGAAACCUCGGUGAGAUCCCCUGACUGGAACAGGCUUUAGGGAUUCUAAGCACAGUUGAUAGAGAGACUGAGCUGGAGUCAGCAUCAUAUAGAUUCCCACAGGUUUCACAUCUGACCCUUCUCCUGACAGUAAAGUGUACAAGUCAGCACCAGCACUGAUCUGGUGCUUCUUUUGCUCCCUAUGGAAUGUCUUUCCACUUACUUUUCUUCUCCCUCUUUCACGUGCUUCUCCUGCUCACUGCAAUAAGAAAGAUGGGUCUCUGUGGACUAAAUUACAGGGCUCAAGCCCUUCUCUUGGAGCUCAGGUGUGUCUCAGGCUGUGGCUCCUACAGCCACCUUGGGGAGGCUAAUGGGCCUUUCUUCUGUCGUGUUGCUCAGGACCCUCCACUGUAAUGUGUGAAGACUCAUCUGGGAAUGCAGCUGGCUAGGCAAAACUGAAAGGGAUAAGCUUGUUUGGUCAACAUGAGAUACAGAGGUGGAAUUGACCCUGUGCUGUACAAACUUUCAGAGUCACUUUAUUAAAUGAUAGUGUUAGAAACAACUUGAGAAAGUUGUCAGAAUCAAAAUUGGGUCACUUGAGUUAAAACCCUGCUGAAUGAAGCUGGGGAAGGCCAUAACAAAUGUUCUCAUGCUCAUUCCUGAUAACAAGAACUAUCAUAAAUAGACUCUGGAGAACCACAACCUUCCACAAAGGUCACCACAACCUUAAAAGAAUUACUUCUAUGAGGAAUCUGCCCAGCAACUCUCUGUUUAAGACUGGACCUAUGCCACCCUUAUUGAUUCUUCUAGUCCAGAAUAAUUGUCUCAAAAAAGUGUAUGUAACCCUCUUCAUUUUAUCUUUAAUCCUUUCUAUUCCUUUGCCUGCCUGAGUGAACCCAUAUUCCCAUUGCAAUGCCCAUCUUCAAAUAAAUUAUCAUUUUACUUUAGAGUCUCUUUUUGUCUGUUAUUCAGAUUUGACAAAGUGCAGAUGGACACAUCACUUUUCUGUGAGAUUUCGGGGAUGAUGAUUUUGGGGCAUGGCCAGGGAAGUACAAUAUCCAUAAGACUGGUCAUCAGUCAGUGCAGGCUGGAAGUCUCAGAGAGAGGUGAAGCUGCUGGAUCACUCUAGAACUUCACCUUCUCUAGUUCUGCUCUGAUGGAAUUGGGCACACCCUUGUAAUCAAUGACAAUCUACCUAACUUAGAGUCAAUUGACAGUUUUAAUUCUAAAUUUGCAACACCACCUAGAUUAGUGUUUGAAUAACUGUAAAGUAUACCCUAACCAAGUAUAUGGUAAAGCAGAUUAUGACCCAUGGAGAAUCUUUUACAUGACAUCUAAAAUUCUUACAUUUUUUUUACAUAAAACCGAUCAUUUGACAAUCAGGCUGUUAUGACCUGCUAAUGAAUUGUAGAAGUUACAUAUAUAUUUUAGGUAUUCACAGUUUUUCAGAUGCAUAGUGUGCAACUAUAUUCUCCCACUCUGUAAGUUUGAAUUUUUUUCCUUGCUUUGCAAAAUGUUUAUAUUUUGAUGUAGUUCCAGUUGCUCAGUUCUCCUUUUGUUGUCUGUGCUUUUAAUGUUAAAUCUAGGAAAUCAUUUUUAACCUUUUCGUGGGAGAGAAUUUUACAAUUGCAGGCUGUAUAUUUAACUGUUUAUCCCACUUAGAGUUGACUUUUUGUGCUUAUUCUCAACUAAAAUGUUUAAUUCUUUGCAUGUGAAAAUCCAUUUUGUCUUCAUACCCUCUUAGGGAGAGAGUAUGAUUUAGCCAUUGCAUGGAAAAUGUUGAAAAUCAGUUUACCAUCAAUAUGUGGGUUCUCAUGUGGAAA